AUUAUACAGCGAAACUGCGAAUGGCUCAUUAAAUCAGUUAUCGUUUAUUUGAUAGUACCUUACUACUUGGAUAACCGUGGUAAUUCUAGAGCUAAUACAUGCUGAAAACCCCGACUCACGGAGGGGUGUAUUUAUUAAAUUAAAAACCAAUGCCCUUCGGGGCUCACUGGUGAUUCAUAAUAACUUCUCGAAUCGCAUGGCCUUGCGCCGGCGAUGGUUCAUUCAAAUUUCUGCCCUAUCAACUUUCGAUGGCAGGGUCUUGGCCAGCCAUGGUGACAACGGGUAACGGAGGGUUAGGGCUCGACCCCGGAGAAGGAGCCUGAGAAACGGCUACUACAUCCAAGGAAGGCAGCAGGCGCGCAAAUUACCCAAUCCCGACACGGGGAGGUAGUGACAAUAAAUACUGAUACAGGGCUCUUUUGGGUCUUGUAAUUGGAAUGAGUACAAUUUAAAUCCCUUAACGAGGAACAAUUGGAGGGCAAGUCUGGUGCCAUGUUGCAGUAAAAAAGCUGGUAGUUGAACCUUGGGCCUGGUUGGCCGGUCCGCCUCACCGCGUGCAAUGGUCCGUCCGGGUCUUUCCCUCAGAGGAACCGCAUGCCCUUCACUGGGUGUGUUGGGGAACCAGGACUUUUACUUUGAAAAAAUUAGAGUGUUCAAAGCAGGCCUAUGCUGGAAUACAUUAGCAUGGAAUAAUAGAAUAGGACGUGUGGUUCUAUUUUGAUGGUUUCUAGGACCGCCGUAAUGAUUAAUAGGGACAGUCGGGGGCAUCAGUAUUCAAUUGUCAGAGGUGAAAUUCUUGGAUUUAUUGAAGACUAACUACUGCGAAAGCAUUUGCCAAGGAUGUGUUCAUUAAUCAGGAACGAAAGUUAGGGGAUCGAAGAAGAUCAGAUACCGUCGUAGUCUUAACCUUGAUCUAUGCCGACUAGGGAUCGGGCGAUGUUAUUAUUUGACUCGUUCGGCACCUUACGAGAAAUCAAAGUCUUUGGG
This 987-nucleotide ribosomal RNA is filed under the name Oxydothis hoehnelii. Its description in RNAcentral is "SSU rRNA". It matches the Rfam family "Eukaryotic small subunit ribosomal RNA", at positions 73 to 1111 of the family's 1831-position model. Lineage: Eukaryota; Fungi; Ascomycota; Sordariomycetes; Amphisphaeriales; Oxydothidaceae. The record is from RNAcentral.